AGCCCCCUCUGUUCUCUAUCAUGUUCCAAACACAUGCACUAUAAUUUUUCUUCAUAGGAGAGUCAAGAGGAAAGAUGCUGGACUCACAUCUAUCAAGUGGAGGGAAACAUACAGCUGAGGAUGGUUAACGUGAACAUGAGAUGUGUUUGCGUCUGAAGACUGCAGCCCAAGACGCCCAUAGGAAGCCUCCAUCCUGGUGCCCGCUGGGCUGUGAGUUUGCCCCUCUGGCUAUGAGCUCGGCGUCCCCACCAGACACUUCCUUUUCUACCAGGAUCCAGCUGCUCGCCAGUCCCUCCCCCACCCCACUUUGUUAGAAGCAGCUGUUUUUCCCCUUCCAGUCCUCCAAGUGCUGAUUUCAUUUCUUUCCCGACAGAAGUUUGGAGCCAGGAGGGAAAUGGUUUGGCAGGAAGUCAACGAGCCAUGGGAGGAAGACGACAGAGUGGAGAAAGCAGACGUCUCACAGAGGGGCUGGGCCGAGGGGGUCUGAGUGGGCAGACUGGACAGGGCUCCAAAGACCCCCAGAAGUCCCUGCAAGUCCCUGGAGUCCAGGUGGGAAGAAGUCCAGAGAGGAGAGCUGAGGGCCAGGGAAGGGCCACACCCCAGCAGGACCUGAAACGGCUCUGAUCCCGGCCUCUCUCACCCUCGUCCGGUGCCCGGCAAGUGUGCAGGCAUCCUGGCCCUGCCGUCGCCACCCCUGGGGGUCUGGCUGGUUCCAGCGCAACCGUCACAGCCUACCUGUUCCUCGGGCCACAGGCC
Molecule: long non-coding RNA, 756 nt
Filed under: Capra hircus (goat)
Lineage: Eukaryota; Metazoa; Chordata; Mammalia; Artiodactyla; Bovidae
Description: lncRNA (ENSCHIG00000001971.1)
Source: RNAcentral